GCACUAAUGGGGUAGUGGUAACCUGGGUCGUUGCCAUCGUCUUGCGAUUGAUGAGAUUUGUCGACCCGCCGGGGGUUCGAUUCCCCCUUAGUGCA
Non-coding RNA from Panus rudis PR-1116 ss-1, 95 nucleotides. NCBI's taxonomy places the organism in Eukaryota, Fungi, Basidiomycota, Agaricomycetes, Polyporales, Panaceae. The record is from the annotation of a GenBank genome assembly.